AGAGUAGAAUGAUUGUAAAUUUUUACAUAUGAUAAUGGUAUGAUAGCUAAGGUUUUUAUUUUUAGAGAUGCUUGCAGAAAUAUUCAUGGAUGCGGCCAAGUGCGGUGGCUCAUGCCUGUAAUCCCAGCACUUUGGGAGGCUGAGGUGGGCGGAUUACGAGGUCAGGAGAACCAGACCAUCCUGGCUAACAUGGUGAAACCCGGUCUCUACUAAAAAUAAAAAAUAAAAAUAAAUUUUAAAAAAAUAACAGGGCAUGGUGGCGGGCGCCUGUAGUCCCAGCUACUCGGGAGGCUGAGGCAGGAGAAUGACGUGAACCUGGGAGGUGGAGCUUGCAGUGAGCGAAGAUCGUGCCACUGCACUCCAGCCUGGGCAACAGAGUGAGACUCUGUGAAAGACAGAGAGAAAGAAGGAAGGAAGGAAGGAAGGAAGGAAGGAAGGAAGGAAGGAAGGAAGGUAGGAAGGAAGGAAGGAGGGAGGGAGGGAGGGAGGGAGGGAGGGAAGGAAGGAAGGAAAGGAAGGAAGGAAAGGAGGGAGGGAGGCAGGGAGGGAGGGAAGGAAGGAAAAGAAAGAAAGAAAUAUUCAUACGAUGUCUAGGAUUUGCCUCCAUAAAACCCAAUGAGGUUGGGGGUUGGGAAACAAAAGAAAAUAUGGAUGAGGAUGAAACGAGAUUGGCUUAGAGUUGGUAGGUGUUGAAGUUGAGCAGUGAGCGCCUGAGGACUUCUUAGGCUAUGUCUCUACUUCUGUGUAUGUUUCAAAAUUUCCCAAACGAAACAUUUUCUAAAUUGUCCAGUGUAGAAGGCUCAAGCCUUCGGCAUCUUCCCCCAUCCCCACCGAAGUCCCCAGUCCUCCCCUGGUAACAUUCUGGGCAGCUUUCCUCCUUGCUUCCCCAGCACCUCCUGGGCUAUUUCAGACUCCGUGCCAGCGGAGCACCACACUGCCUCAGCCCCCGCAGUUGGCACUUGGACAAAAAUCUUUUCCUGACCCCAGAUGGCAUUGCAGCUUCCUCAGUCCGAUCCUGUAAGCAUAUUUUUUUCCAGGCACCUGAUUCCUGGAUGUGGCAGCAAUAAAACCAACCGAGAUUGUUUGACUGGCCCCCUCUGGAGCAGGUAUUUCCCAUUCCGAUGCCGUCAGCCAUCUGAGCGUGCUGCUUCCAAGAGCUCGGAAAUAACAGCCGGCUCCUUCCUGGAACAUCCACUUCUGUCUUCCCUGUGAAUCCACUGCUUGCUUCACCGAACAAUUCAGACCACUCCAUUUCCCAGCAGAGCCCUGACCUGAGAAUGACAGGUAAAACUCUUUUCACCUUAGGGCUGAGUAAAAGUACUAAGACAAGGAAUUCUUUCAUGUUAUUUUCCUAACUCCAGGAUCAUUGAUCUGUGUAGCCUUAGGUGAGUUACUUAAACUUUCUGAAUCUCAGUUUCACCCAUUGUGAAAUGGAGAUGAUAAAAACUGCCCGAUUUAUAUAUAAAUAAUCAUUGAUGUUAACUCCAGUUGAAAAGUACAGAGGGCAGUAUGUAGUCACUGGUUUAAUAUUUAUGGUGUUUUAUUAAAUGUAAUUCACUAAUCUAGGCACAAGAUAGAAUAUAAAAGUAUGCCCUCAAAGAUUUAUAAUAUAGUUUGGGAAGAAAGAUUUCAUCAAUUACACCAGUACAAGGCCAUGAAAGGUGCUAGGGAAGUUUAGAGGAGGAAGAAAUAAAUUCUGACUGGGGAGCUCAGAGAUGGUAUCGUGAAGGGGGUGGCCUGUGAGCUGGACAAUGAGAGACAAAUGUGUCUGAGUUAUGCAGCUUGGAGGGAGGAAACAAAAAGACAAUGUGUGCAGAAGGAACACCAUGAACAAAUGACUGAGUUUAGGGAAGGGGGUGUCCUGCAAGCCCCUGGGUGCCAUGUGGUUUAGUCUGGCUGAAGUGUAAGGGUUCAUCAUGGAGAGUAAUCCAAGAUAAGCCCAGACAUGUGGAUUUGCAAUGGAUUGUCAAAUGCUGGGCUUCAGAAUUUAGGCAUUAUUUGAGAAGCCAUCUAGAGCCAUGGAAUCUAUUUGAAUACAAAGUGUUCAAAUACAAAGAUGCAGUUUUGGAAGAUUCCUUGAGCAGCAAAGUAGAGAAUGGACUAGAGACGACAUUACACAGGUGCAAGUUACAAAGUGCUGUGAUAGUCAUUUGCUCCAAAUAAGCUGUAUCAAUAUCUGUAACUUCUUAUGAUGGAUCUUCUUUCUCUGCACCAUUUCACAAGUCUUGGGGCUUGCCUUGGCACAUGGUGAGGAUCUGCUGGUCCUAACUGGUUGAUGGCUGAGUUUCAGUUCUGUGUGUAUGCACUGAAGCCCAGUGCAGCAGCUGUCUAAGGUGUCAGCAAAGGAUUGAAAGGAGAGGCCAACCACGUUUAAGCUAAAGGUGCUUUUCUCCUCCCUCCGCCUUCUCUGCUCAAGUUUGACUCUCAGAGGCUUGCAGCUUCACUCACAAAUAGAGACGGCAGAGACAACUGCCAGAGAGCACAUCUGGCAGGGCCCUGAGCAGAUGUUGUAACCACUGGGAUGCAGAGCCCAAGAUGCUGACUGGCACCUGAGUUUCAAUGCUGAACCUUCCCUCCUGCUCUUUUAUAACACAAUCUUCU
RNAcentral lists this long non-coding RNA (2601 nucleotides) under Papio anubis (olive baboon). RNAcentral's name for it is "lncRNA (ENSPANG00000049613.1)". Lineage: Eukaryota; Metazoa; Chordata; Mammalia; Primates; Cercopithecidae. The record is from RNAcentral.